AAGCGUUGUCUCUACUCGUCACUAAAUAUCCGCAUAAAAUUUUUCAAAGAUAUCAUUUCCACGACGUAUGUUAAAAAUGCUCUUAAAAUAAUUAUAUUAUUAAAGUUCAAAUUUCAAUGAUAAUAAGAUUAACUAUCCUAAACAAAGACUUGGCAGUGAAUUAAUAACGAGCAAAACCAGAACAAGAAUUCUGUUGACACGUGAUUGAAAUCUGUAUAAAAUUUAAUUGACAAUAGAAAUUCACGGUUUAUAGCAAACAAUAAAAAGUACGAAUGAAAACAGAAAAUUUAAGUAAUCAAAGUUAUCCAUGAAACGUGAAAACAAAAUACAAAGAUGAAGUUCUUGUCUAUCCUCUUGGUUGGCAUCUUUGUCUAUUUGCAGAUGGGAAAUAUAAAGGCAGAAGAGGAUAUUCUGUGUGAUAGGAUCGACUAUUGUAAGGCCUAUUGCAACGUAAUAUGUAAGGAAGUUUCUUGUACGGCUGAGUGUGUGAAUAACGAAUGCUAUUGCACUCCGAACAUUUUGAAGGCGGCUAAGGAAACCCAACAGAAAAGUGCCAGUUAGCGAGGGAAAAUACUUAUAAUUCUGAUAGAUUUUUCUAUUCUUGAAGCAUAAACAACGAAAUAAAAUGUUUAUAGCAUA
Molecule: long non-coding RNA, 639 nt
Organism: Danaus plexippus (monarch butterfly)
Lineage: Eukaryota; Metazoa; Arthropoda; Insecta; Lepidoptera; Nymphalidae
Exons: 2
Source: RefSeq, a predicted model, not a curated record